Long non-coding RNA from Tripterygium wilfordii, 1418 nucleotides. RefSeq lists it as uncharacterized. The transcript is spliced from 6 exons. The record is from RefSeq and is a predicted model, not a curated record. NCBI's taxonomy places the organism in Eukaryota, Viridiplantae, Streptophyta, Magnoliopsida, Celastrales, Celastraceae.
GGGGUGCACGUGGGGUCCACUUGCUUUCCAAUCCCUGACCGACUUCAGAUGUGAUUCUUAUGAUGAAGCGAUCACUCGAAGUUUAAACGAGAGAACCUCCAAUUCCAAACACGCGUUUCACAAUCACACGGUCUCUCUCGCUUUGGCAUCUCAUCUCCUCCAUUCGAACGUUCUUCGUUUCCUCUCCUCUUCUCCCGCUAACUUCAGAAGCAAGACAACGAUGCCUUCAGUUCUGAAUGAAGCGUCCUUCGGAGUUUCUAGAUACUUCAGCGGACCAUCCCCGCUGAAGCCGCCGAGAAAUGGAAAGCGUUAUCCGCAGGACUGCCUCCGACCUCGAUUCCUCGAAAAUUUUUGCGAUUCGGAUGUUUCCAGGAUCUGCCGUUUUCCUUCUCUCGCCAGAGCCUUGCAGAAGCGAUUAGGCUCUACGGUUGUCGCCACUUGAAGAGUCCAUAGGCUUACCGUUUCGUCGCGGAAGACGUUGAAAGGUUGAUUUUAUUGUUGAUUCUCUGGAAUCUUGUAGGCAUAGAAUGAUGUUCUCUUGGGAAUUUUUCAGUGAGGCUAGCAAACAUCAGUGAGGAUGAAUGACCAUCUGCCUGUGAGGUUUACAGUAUGUCAUUCGUAAAGUGUAGAAGUUAAGUUGAAGAGGGAUGUUGGAAGAUCAGUCUGUGCGGGGAAUGUAAAACUAAAGAAUUCCAAAAGAUACUGGAAUGCAAACCUUAUGCUGAAUUUCUUGGGAAUUUAAAUAUGGCUUCUUCACGGCUUCUUCACCUGGUGUUGUGAAGUUUAUGCAUGACAUGAGCAGUAUCAUCAGGCGCAAGGCGUAUCAGAACCUGAAUGGCAUUCGACUUAGCUCUUCAAACCUCUUUUGAGUGAGUGAAAUACUGCAACUUUGACAUUUCAUAUUCUCCUUUCCCUUUUUCUUUUUGGUGCUGUGGUUGGUUGGUGUCCAAGGGGGCAUCAUCACACCUCUCGUCUUUUUUAAAAUCCAUUUAAAUUGCUCUCUGCAUUUUUUUGAAUACAUUUAAACAUUCAAUGACCGCUGCAGGAAAAUUAGUAAAAGAUGAGCUGAUGUUUGUGAAAUAUCAGUAGUGUGAAAAGGUUAGAUUAAUAAGGGUUCGUUAAUUGUCCACAGAAAUAUAAUCGGUAGAGGCCAUCAUACUUUUUAUUUUGUUUUCUUAUGGUGAGAGGGUCAUGUAGGUGUAGGCAAUUACACAAUUUUUGUGUGUCUAGUAGCAUGAGUGUCAUGCCUGUUUACAUCAGAAUUGGGUAGUAUACUUGUUUCUUACUGGCAUAACAUUAGUGGUUUCAUGGAUUUUCACAAACCAUUAUUUCUGACAAUUUGUUUUUGGGGUGGACUGUUCAGUCCACGUCCCCAUGGCUUUCUUCCAUUAAAUUUGAGUGUUCUUUUCUUUGGUCCU